This 92-nucleotide ribosomal RNA is filed under the name Aeromonas salmonicida subsp. salmonicida. RNAcentral describes it as "partial 23S ribosomal RNA". Lineage: Bacteria; Pseudomonadati; Pseudomonadota; Gammaproteobacteria; Aeromonadales; Aeromonadaceae. The record is from RNAcentral.
GAUAGGUGGGGUGUGUAAGUGCAGCGAUGCAUUGAGCUAACCCAUACUAAUUACCCGUGAGGCUUAACCAUACAACACCCAAGAAGUGUUCU